This 607-nucleotide long non-coding RNA is filed under the name Mytilus galloprovincialis (Mediterranean mussel). Lineage: Eukaryota; Metazoa; Mollusca; Bivalvia; Mytilida; Mytilidae. The record is from RNAcentral.
AUUGUGCUGACUUGAGAUUUUUUUAUGGCUAGAUUUUAAAAAUAUAGUGACAGUCAUUAGUGCAGUAAUAUACUUUAAAUACUAGUACUGCUCAAGUCGACACUAGGGACCAUAUUGACCUAGUUUUACGGAAUUCAUGAUUCUUUCAUUAUUGAAGACCCUCCAGCAACUAUCAAGAAGAAGAACAGGAAUAAAAACUUUGACCAUUGAUCAUUUGUAUUUUUUUCUAUACAUUGACAUUGUGUGCGAUUAGCUCCCGUGCACGUGUACUUCAUAUUCCUUUAUUUUCUGUUAAAGGGUCUGAACACGACUUAAUGCAAAUUUAACCCUUGAAUGUAAAAGGUCAUAUGGCAAUACAUUGAUGUUUUUUUUCAACAAAUGAUUUGAUACCGGGAAAUUGGUGGUUUUACUUUAAUUUAAACCAUGUCAGCUAUCUAGUUUUAUCCACAGGCGUUUUGGUAUAUGAUACAGUUAUUUUUUUUUUUUGUUGAUUAAGAUAUUCAAUUUUCUAUAUUUAUAAUACAUAUCUAUCACUUCUGUGCAUAUCUCACCUACAGAAAAUACCUAAUUUUGCAAUCCAUACUAAGAAAAAUUGGGUAUGGUUUUA